CCCGUAGUGAUGAAAAAGAAACUUUCUAGGGGUUUUAUACUGUCUUUCUGAAAUCACUUCUUCAAUCCUAAUCUCACUACAGAUUAAAAAAUCAGAUUUUUUUUUUUUGGUUGGGAGAUUUAAUAACUGCAUGCAAGUCAAAAACUCUCAACUGUUUCAACCCUAGAGAUAUGAUUGAAAUAAAAUCUCAAACUUCUAGUCAACAAGUAGAUUAUGCUUCAUUUGGAAUCAUAUAAUCUAUAAGGAACUUAAAUUGAAGAGAAAUGAAAUAUCUCAAUACAAAUCCCACAAAAAUCAAAGACAAUCUGGGUAGAUUACACCACUUGUAAAUAAGGCAAAGAAUUAAAUAACCACCACCUGGCUUCUUCUGGUUCUCUUGAGAUCAACCGAGAGAAAGUUGAGAGAAGACUAGAAUGAAAAUAAAAUACAGAAUUAAAGAUAGACUUUUGUGUACGGACGUUGCACUAAGACAAAGUCUGGCAAAUAAGCUUUAUAGGUCUUUACUUUAGCUUAGAGAAGUUAGAAAUAAGAAUUUGGGGUUUGUUUUGGAAGGGGGGGAGGGGGGAAGAGAGUUGCGUGCGUGUCUACAUAUGAAUGUUCAGUUAAAGUGAGAAGAAUACUGAGAUGGGACCAAGGAGGUAAGGUUUAAUGUUCUGUUUCGCUGUUAAAUCUCGUCUCAACAAAUAAAGAAAAAGAAGCCAUAAUUUUCAGUUCAACAAACUCUGAGCAGACAAGAAAUUGGGAAUAAGUCUGUUGAAUCUCGAUUCAACAAAUAAAGAAAAAGAAGCCAUAAUUUUCAGUUCAACAAACUCUGAGCAUACAAGAAAUUGGAAAUAAGGACAAAAAAUUUGCUUCUCAAUAGGAUUCUACGUACCGUACUGUUAUCAAAAGUAAACUCUAAGAGAGACAGAAUUAAUGGACAAGUCAUAAUACUUUGAAAGUAGUAGCUAGGGGUCUAGCUAGUAAUAGGAGAUCAUAGGUGUUGUAUUUUUUUGUGGACCGCUAGGGAAUAUUGAAGAAGGAAGGGGUUGACGAGAAGACGGCGGCGGCGGUGGAGAGCUGCCGGCAGCAGGUGGAGGGUUGCCGUUGUCAACUGUUGUCAAAUGGGUUAUGUUUGAUGUGUCAGACUAAUCAGCUUAUUACUCAUUUUUUAUUCUCUCUCUCUACUUUUAGUUUUUCA
RNAcentral lists this long non-coding RNA (1180 nucleotides) under Nicotiana benthamiana. RNAcentral describes it as "long non-coding RNA (NBEN_LNC012122)". The record is from RNAcentral. Lineage: Eukaryota; Viridiplantae; Streptophyta; Magnoliopsida; Solanales; Solanaceae.